RNAcentral lists this ribosomal RNA (500 nucleotides) under uncultured Glomeromycotina. RNAcentral's name for it is "partial small subunit ribosomal RNA". It matches the Rfam family "Eukaryotic small subunit ribosomal RNA", at positions 591 to 1092 of the family's 1831-position model. Lineage: Eukaryota; Fungi; Glomeromycota. The record is from RNAcentral.
CCAAUAGCGUAUAUUAAAGUUGUUGCAGUUAAAAAGCUCGUAGUUGAAUUUCGGGAUCAGUACGUCGGUCGUGCCUUCGGUACGUACUGGUGUUACUGGUUUCUACCUUCUGAAGAACCGUCAUGUCAUUAAUUUGGUGUGGCGGGGAAUCAGGACUGUUACUUUGAAAAAAUUAGAGUGUUUAAAGCAGGCUCGCUCUUGAAUACAUUAGCAUGGAAUAAUGAAAUAGGACGUUCGAUCCUAUUUUGUUGGUUUCUAGGAUUGACGUAAUGAUUAAUAGGGAUAGUUGGGGGCAUUAGUAUUCAAUUGUCAGAGGUGAAAUUCUUGGAUUUAUUGAAGACUAACUACUGCGAAAGCAUUUGCCAAGGAUGUUUUCAUUAAUCAAGAACGAAAGUUAGGGGAUCGAAGACGAUCAGAUACCGUCGUAGUCUUAACCAUAAACUAUGCCGACUAGGGAUCGGAUGAUGUUAAUUUUUUAAUGACUCAUUCGGCACCUUACG